This is an RNA transcript of Mus musculus (house mouse), 2254 nucleotides long. It is a transcript of the gene named thyroid hormone receptor interactor 13, with no coding region annotated. The record is from RefSeq and is marked validated. Lineage: Eukaryota; Metazoa; Chordata; Mammalia; Rodentia; Muridae. The transcript is spliced from 13 exons.
GCAAAGCGCCGAGCGGCUCGGGCGGCGGAAGUGGAUUUGGCCGGCCCUUAGCCAAGGUGGAUCCUCCUACAUCGGAGAAGGCUGUCGCACAGGGCGCAGGGAGGCGACCGCGGCCUCACUCCGGCGGCAUUCCCUCGGCUCCCGGCGGCGGCGCCAUGGACGAGGCGGUGGGCGACCUGAAGCAAGCGCUUCCCUGUGUUGCCGAAUCGCCCGCGGUCCAUGUGGAGGUUCUGCAGCGCAGCGGAAGCACUGCAAAAAAAGAAGAUAUAAAGUCGAGUGUUUACAGGCUGCUCAACCGGCAUAAUAUUGUGUUUGGAGAUUACGUCUGGACUGAGUUUGAUGAUCCUUUUCUAAGCAGAAAUGUUCAGUCAGUGUCUAUUGUUGACACAGAACUAAAGGCUAAAGACCCUCAGCCCAUUGAUCUGAGUGCAUGCACCAUUGCACUUCACAUCUUCCAGCUGAAUGAAGAAGGCCCCAGCAGUGAGAAUUUGGAUGAAGAAACAGAAAAUAUAAUUGCAGCAAGUCACUGGGUUCUGCCUGCAGCUGAAUUUCAUGGACUUUGGGAUAGCCUCGUGUAUGAUGUGGAGGUCAAAUCACAUCUCCUUGAUUAUGUGAUGACCACCGUACUCUUCUCAGACAAGAACGUGGACAGCAACCUCAUCACCUGGAACCGGGUGGUGCUGCUGCACGGUCCUCCGGGUACUGGAAAAACAUCCCUUUGUAAGGCAUUAGCCCAAAAACUGACCAUCAGACUGUCGAGCAGGUACCGGUAUGGCCAGUUGAUUGAAAUAAACAGCCACAGCCUAUUUUCUAAGUGGUUUUCAGAAUACUUUGGUUCCAGAGUGGCAAAUUGGUAACUAAGAUGUUCCAGAAGAUUCAGGACUUGAUUGAUGAUAAGGAAGCUUUGGUGUUUGUUCUGAUUGAUGAGGUGGAGAGUCUCACAGCUGCUCGAAAUGCUUGCAGGGCAGGCGCAGAGCCAUCAGAUGCUAUCCGAGUAGUCAAUGCUGUGUUGACUCAGAUUGACCAGAUUAAAAGGCAUUCCAAUGUGGUGAUUCUGACCACUUCCAACAUCACUGAGAAGAUUGAUGUGGCUUUCGUGGAUAGAGCUGACAUCAAGCAAUACAUUGGCCCCCCCUCUGCAGCAGCCAUCUUCAAAAUCUACCUGUCUUGUUUAGAAGAACUGAUGAAGUGCCAGAUCAUAUAUCCUCGUCAGCAGCUGUUGACCCUUCGGGAGCUGGAAAUGAUUGGCUUCAUUGAAAAUAAUGUGUCAAAGUUGAGCCUCCUUUUGAGUGAAAUUUCAAGGAAGAGUGAGGGCCUCAGUGGCCGGGUCUUGAGGAAACUUCCUUUCCUGGCUCAUGCUCUCUACAUCCAGGCCCCCAGCGUCACCAUCGAGGGUUUCCUCCAGGCCCUAUCUCUGGCAGUGGACAAACAGUUUGAGGAGAAAAAGAAACUUUCAGCUUAUGUUUGAUCCCAGACAUCCAUAUCUAUGGCUUUCAAUGGACAAGUAGGAGGUGAUACCGUCUACCUCACAGUGUGCAUCAGAAAUGACUCUAAGCCAUGUAGAUCUGCAGGCCAGACAGAUGGGUGUACAAUCUUUGUCAAAAGGACUAUGUGUUAUUUUACAGUGCAUAUCUAAAGGCAAAAAAGACUGCUUGUCUUUUUCACUGUUUUUAAAAGAUAAUUCCAGUCUGUUUGCAUCUAUGUAAAGCCCCAUCCUGACUCAAGCCUGUCAGACACAAGAUGUUAGAAUUUGUUUAAAAUAAAGGGAGAUCAAAACAGCUGUCAUAGAACAAGGGGGAUGCUAACUAAUGCAGUUACAGCAUUGAAAGAUGGAUUCUUUGCUCAGGCUAGAAGGGAGCAGUUGCUUUCUGGCUUGAGUCGGCUUUGGUUAGCACAGGAUGCUAUGUGAUGGGUGAGAAAGACGUGUUGCUGUGAUACGGAAACUGAGAGGGGACUGCAGGUAAGAAGAUGAAGAGUUCUUUGGUAGUGCACAGGAGCAGUGUGUGCUUUCUAUGGUCACGUCAAUCAGGCAAUGUGUUUUGUUUCUCCAGUCAUUUUACUUGUAUUUCAAGUGAAAAUUCUUGUUACGAAAUAUAAAAUAAGUCAAUAUGUGUUGCACCUCACAGAAUAUCAUGUUUUAUGUCAUCUUCUGCCAAACGUAGUUUGGCACUAAUACUUUAUACAUGAAUACACUUUUAAAUGGAAUGCUGCCUUUGUCACAGAACGUUUUGUAAUAUUAAACUUGUUUUCAGAA